This 746-nucleotide ribosomal RNA is filed under the name uncultured Planctomycetota bacterium. RNAcentral's name for it is "bacterial SSU rRNA". It matches the Rfam family "Bacterial small subunit ribosomal RNA", at positions 585 to 1325 of the family's 1533-position model. Lineage: Bacteria; Pseudomonadati; Planctomycetota. The record is from RNAcentral.
AGGCAUCUCGUGAAAUCCCACAGCUCAACUGUGGAACUGCGGGGUGAACCGCCGGUCUUGAGGAAGGUAGGGGUCAGUGGAACUAUGGGUGGAGCGGUGAAAUGCGUAGAUAUCCAUGGGAACGCCAAUGGCGAAGGCAACUGACUGGGCCUUUCCUGACGCUCAGGCACGAAAGCGUGGGUAGCGAACGGGAUUAGAUACCCCGGUAGUCCACGCCGUAAACGAUGCACACUAGGUCGAGGGAGCUCUCACGCUUUCUCGGCCGAAGCUAAAGCGUUAAGUGUGCCGCCUGGGGAGUACGGUCGCAAGGCUAAAACUCAAAGGAAUUGACGGGGGCUCACACAAGCGGUGGAGCAUGUUGCUUAAUUCGAGGCAACGCGAAGAACCUUACCUGGUCUUGACAUGCAUGGAUUAGCUCUUGGAAACAUGAGUGACGCCUUCGGGUGGAACAUGCACAGGUGCUGCAUGGCUGUCGUCAGCUCGUGCUGUGAAGUGUCGGGUUAAAUCCCUUAACGAGCGCAACCCCUAUCGUCAGUUACUAACGCGUUAUGGCGAGGACUCUGGCGAGACUGCCGGUGUCAAACCGGAGGAAGGUGGGGAUGACGUCAAGUCCUCAUGGCCCUUACGACCAGGGUUGCAAACGUGCUACAAUGGUACGGACAGAGCGACGCGAGACCGCGAGGUGGAGCAAAUCGCAAAAACCGUGCCCCAGUUCGGAUAGCAGGCUGCAAUUCGCCUGCUUGAAG